UGGGGGAUAUUGCGCAAUGGGGGCAACCCUGACGCAGCAACGCCGCGUGAAGGAUGAAGGUUUUCGGAUUGUAAACUUCUUUUAUUAAGGACGAAAAUUGACGGUACUUAAUGAAUAAGCUCCGGCUAACUACGUGCCAGCAGCCGCGGUAAUACGUAGGGAGCAAGCGUUGUCCGGAUUUACUGGGUGUAAAGGGUGCGUAGGCGGCUUUGCAAGUCAGAUGUGAAAUCUAUGGGCUCAACCCAUAAACUGCAUUUGAAACUGUAGAGCUUGAGUGAAGUAGAGGCAGGCGGAAUUCCCCGUGUAGCGGUGAAAUGCGUAGAGAUGGGGAGGAACACCAGUGGCGAAGGCGGCCUGCUGGGCUUUAACUGACGCUGAGGCACGAAAGCGUGGGUAGCAAACAGGAUUAGAUACCCUGGUAGUCCACGCUGUAAACGAUGAUUACUAGGUGUGGGGGGUCUGACCCCUUCCGUGCCGGAGUUAACACAAUAAGUAAUCCACCUGGGGAGUACGGCCGCAAGGUUGAAACUCAAAGGAAUUGACGGGGGCCCGCACAAGCAGUGGAGUAUGUGGUUUAAUUCGAAGCAACGCGAAGAACCUUACCAGGUCUUGACAUCCAACUAACGAAGUAGAGAUACAUUAGGUGCCCUUCGGGGAAAGUUGAGACAGGUGGUGCAUGGUUGUCGUCAGCUCGUGUCGUGAGAUGUUGGGUUAAGUCCCGCAACGAGCGCAACCCUUGCUAUUAGUUGCUACGCAAGAGCACUCUAAUAGGACUGCCGUUGACAAAACGGAGGAAGGUGGGGACGACGUCAAAUCAUCAUGCCCCUUAUGACCUGGGCUACACACGUACUACAAUGGAUGUUAACAGAGGGAAGCAAGACAGCGAUGUGGAGCAAACCCCUAAAAACAUUCUCAGUUCAGAUUGCAGGCUGCAACCCGCCUGCAUGAAGAUGGAAUUGCUAGUAAUCGCGGAUCAGCAUGCCGCGGUGAAUACGUUCCC
This 1000-nucleotide ribosomal RNA is filed under the name uncultured bacterium. Its description in RNAcentral is "bacterial SSU rRNA". It matches the Rfam family "Bacterial small subunit ribosomal RNA", at positions 355 to 1375 of the family's 1533-position model. The record is from RNAcentral.